Molecule: ribosomal RNA, 497 nt
Filed under: uncultured bacterium
Lineage: Bacteria
Description: partial 16S ribosomal RNA
Rfam family: Bacterial small subunit ribosomal RNA
Source: RNAcentral
GAUGAACGCUGGCGGCGUGCCUAAUACAUGCAAGUCGAGCGAACGGACGAGAAGCUUGCUUCUCUGAUGUUAGCGGCGGACGGGUGAGUAACACGUGGAUAACCUCCCUAUAAGACUGGGAUAACUUCGGGAAACCGUAGCUAAUACCGGAUAAUAUUUUGAACCGCAUGGUUCAAAAGUGAAAGACGGUCUUGCUGGCACUUAUAGAUGGAUCCGCGCUGCAUUAGCUAGUUGGUAAGGUAACGGCUUACCAAGGCAACUAUGCAUAGCCGACCUGAGAGGGUGAUCGGCCACACUGGAACUGGGACACGGUCCAUACGCCUACGGGAGGCAGCAGUAGGGAAUCUUCCGCAAUGGGCGAAAGCCUGGCGGAGCAACGCCGCGUGAGUGAUGAAGGUCUUCGGAUCGUAAAACUCUGUUAUUAGGGAAGAACAUAUGUGUAAGUAACUGUGCACAUCUUGACGGUACCUAAUCAGAAAGCCACGGCUAACUACGUG